UACGUUGGGGGCAAGCGUUAUCCGGAUUUAUUGGGCGUAAAGGGGACGCAGGCGGUCUUUUAAGUCUGAUGUGAAAGCCUUCGGCUUAACCGGAGUAGUGCAUUGGAAACUGGGAGACUUGAGUGCAGAAGAGGAGAGUGGAACUCCAUGUGUAGCGGUGAAAUGCGUAGAUAUAUGGAAGAACACCAGUGGCGAAAGCGGCUCUCUGGUCUGUAACUGACGCUGAGGUUCGAAAGCGUGGGUAGCAAACAGG
RNAcentral lists this ribosomal RNA (253 nucleotides) under uncultured bacterium. RNAcentral describes it as "partial 16S ribosomal RNA". It matches the Rfam family "Bacterial small subunit ribosomal RNA", at positions 524 to 776 of the family's 1533-position model. The record is from RNAcentral.